UUAGAUUGCACAGGGCCUUUUCCAACAAC
RNAcentral lists this small RNA (29 nucleotides) under Bombyx mori (domestic silkworm). RNAcentral's name for it is "ovarian small RNA-36718". The record is from RNAcentral. Lineage: Eukaryota; Metazoa; Arthropoda; Insecta; Lepidoptera; Bombycidae.